RNAcentral lists this ribosomal RNA (878 nucleotides) under uncultured bacterium. RNAcentral's name for it is "bacterial SSU rRNA". It matches the Rfam family "Bacterial small subunit ribosomal RNA", at positions 8 to 889 of the family's 1533-position model. The record is from RNAcentral.
AGAGUUUGAUCCUGGCUCAGGAUGAACGCUAGCGGCAGGCCUAACACAUGCAAGUCGAGGGGCAGCGGGAGUGCUUGCACUCGCCGGCGACCGGCGCACGGGUGCGGAACGCGUAUCGAAUCUACCUCUAUCUGGGGGAUACCCCAUGGAAACGUGGAAUAAUACCCCAUAGUAUUACUUUUUCGCAUGAUUUAGUAAUUAAAGAAUUUCGGAUAGAGAUGACGAUGCGUAUCAUUAGCUAGUAGGUAAGGUAACGGCUUACCUAGGCAACGAUGAUUAGGGGUCCUGAGAGGGAGAUCCCCCACACUGGUACUGAGACACGGACCAGACUCCUACGGGAGGCAGCAGUGAGGAAUAUUGGACAAUGGUCGAAAGACCGAUCCAGCCAUGCCGCGUGCAGGAUGACUGCCCUAUGGGUUGUAAACUGCUUUUAUACGGGAAGAAAAACACCUACGUGUAGGUGACUGACGGUACCGUAAGAAUAAGGACCGGCUAACUCCGUGCCAGCAGCCGCGGUAAUACGGAGGGUCCAAGCGUUAUCCGGAAUCAUUGGGUUUAAAGGGUCCGUAGGCGGGCUAUUAAGUCAGAGGUGAAAGUUUGCAGCUCAACUGUAAAAUUGCCUUUGAUACUGAUAGUCUUGAAUUGUAGUGAAGUGGUUAGAAUAUGUGGUGUAGCGGUGAAGUGCAUAGAUAUCACAUAGAAUACCGAUUGCGAAGGCAGAUCACUAACUAUAUAUUGACGCUGAGGGACGAAAGCGUGGGUAGCGAACGGGAUUAGAUACCCCGGUAGUCCACGCCGUAAACGAUGGAUACUAGCUGUUGGAUUUUUUCAGUGGCUAAGCGAAAGUGAUAAGUAUCCCACCUGGGGAGUACGUUCGC